UGGGGGAAUUUUCCGCAAUGGGCGAAAGCCUGACGGAGCAAUGCCGCGUGGAGGUGGAAGGCCUACGGGUCGUCAACUUCUUUUCUCGGAGAAGAAACAAUGACGGUAUCUGAGGAAUAAGCAUCGGCUAACUCUGCGCCAG
Molecule: ribosomal RNA, 142 nt
Filed under: uncultured bacterium
Lineage: Bacteria
Description: partial 16S rRNA
Rfam family: Bacterial small subunit ribosomal RNA
Source: RNAcentral